ACAAGCGGUGGAUGAUGUGGAUUAAUUCGAUGCAACGCGAAAAACCUUACCUACCCUUGACAUGUCCGGAAUCCUGCAGAGAUGCGGGAGUGCCCGAAAGGGAAUCGGAACACAGGUGCUGCAUGGCUGUCGUCAGCUCGUGUCGUGAGAUGUUGGGUUAAGUCCCGCAACGAGCGCAACCCUUAUCAUUAGUUGCUACGCAAGGGCACUCUAAUGAGACUGCCGGUGACAAACCGGAGGAAGGUGGGGAUGACGUCAAGUCCUCAUGGCCCUUAUGGGUAGGGCUUCACACGUCAUACAAUGGUCGGUACAGAGGGUUGCCAAGCCGCGAGGUGGAGCCAAUCCCAGAAAGCCGAUCGUAGUCCGGAUUGUUCUCUGCAACUCGAGAGCAUGAAGUCGGAAUCGCUAGUAAUCGCGGAUCAGCAUGUCGCGGUGAAUACGUUCCCGGGUCUUGUACACACCGCCCGUCACACCAUGGGAGUGGAAUCUGGCAGAAGUAGGUAGCCUAACCGCGAGGAGGGCGCUUACCACGCUGGGUUUCAUGACUGGGGUGAAGUCGUAACAAGGUAGCCGUAGGGGAACCUGCGGCUGGAUCACCUCCUU
This 603-nucleotide ribosomal RNA is filed under the name uncultured bacterium. RNAcentral's name for it is "bacterial SSU rRNA". It matches the Rfam family "Bacterial small subunit ribosomal RNA", at positions 925 to 1532 of the family's 1533-position model. The record is from RNAcentral.